AAAAAUGAAUUAAAAAAUUAGUUUCGACCUAAUUAUAGAUAUUAAAUUAUCCAUUUUUA
RNAcentral lists this transfer RNA (59 nucleotides) under Wiebesia pumilae. RNAcentral's name for it is "tRNA-Arg". The record is from RNAcentral. Lineage: Eukaryota; Metazoa; Arthropoda; Insecta; Hymenoptera; Agaonidae.